UAGGGAAUAUUGGUAAUGUGCGAAAGCGCGAACCAGCAACGCCGCGUGCACGAUGAAGGCCUUCGGGUUGUAAAGUGCUUUUAGAGAGGAUGAGGAAGGACAGUACUUUCUGAAUAAGCCUCGGCUAACUACGUGCCAGCAGCCGCGGUAAAACGUAGGAGGCUAGCGUUAUCCGGAUUUACUGGGCGUAAAGCGCGUGCAGGUGGUUUCGUAAGUUGGAUGUGAAAGCUCCUGGCUUAACUGGGAGAGGUCGUUCAAAACUGCGAGGCUUGAGAGUGGUAGAGGGAGGUGGAAUGCCGGGUGUAGCGGUGAAAUGCGGAGAUAGCCGGAGGAACACCAGUGGCGAAGGCGGCCUCCUGGACCAUU
This 366-nucleotide ribosomal RNA is filed under the name uncultured bacterium. RNAcentral describes it as "bacterial SSU rRNA". It matches the Rfam family "Bacterial small subunit ribosomal RNA", at positions 355 to 738 of the family's 1533-position model. The record is from RNAcentral.